Molecule: long non-coding RNA, 2279 nt
Filed under: Sarcophilus harrisii (Tasmanian devil)
Lineage: Eukaryota; Metazoa; Chordata; Mammalia; Dasyuromorphia; Dasyuridae
Description: lncRNA (ENSSHAG00000021479.1)
Source: RNAcentral
AUCUAGAGGGUGAAUGUGAAAGAUUGUUGUUCUGACAAACCUAGAGUACAGCUUUCUUAUUGGCUCUUAAUUCUGGAAAACAGAGUGACUCCUAAUAUCUUGACAUGUUUAUAUUUAUAUGUACACACAUAUCUUGGAAGGCAUCAUCUGUACUCACAUAGCACAUAAACCCUGUAAAAGUUUCAUCUAUGAAGAUUAUAUGCCUGAGAGAAAAGGGUAGAGUCUUAGAGAUCUAAACAUUUAAAGAGAUGGUUCUAAUAGGCAAAUUCACUGUCAACAACUUUUUCUUUAUUUCUUAUAAUCUGAGUAAAAUUUAAGAAAAAUCAAAUAGGUAUUUUGGCUGUUUGGUACCUGUUCUCACAAGACUGAUUUACUACAGAUACUCAUAGAACAUAGAAGUUGAUCUUCUUCACAAGAAGUCUGGCAUGACGAAAGUGUGAUCUAAAAGAAAAGAACUAAAUGCCAAGUUUCAGAACACAACUGGAGUUCCUUGAGACAGUAUUAUACCCAGAUAUUGUUGUGACUCCCAGACAACACUUCCUGGCAUUGAAUUACACUGGAUCAGGAACUGUUUUGUUCCCAAAGAUACCACAAUUUACUCCAGGAACAUUGACUAUUAUUCUGACAUCCACACUGCUUUGUGAGUAAACUUGGACCUUCAUCCUCUCUGAACCCUUCAGAAAGAGAGGGAGAGACAAAGUCUGUCCUGCUUCUGCAGCCAAGAAAGAGGCUGCUUACCCUCUCACCCCACUGAUGCCCAGCACUACCACAAGCACGGAAUAUCUUCUCCCAAAGCUGGUCCCUCUCUCUUAGAUGAUCUCAGCGUACUACAGCAUCUGCUAUUUAGGAACCCUAACCUUUUUCUUGGAUGACUUAAGGAAUUUUAAUAUUGAGGUAACUGAAGAAAUAAGUGCAUGUAAAGGCCUUUGGGGGAAGAAAACUGUGUUUUUGCUUUGAUUUAUCACCUUACUGCUCUUUUAUGAACAAUGUUUACUGCAACCUUUUUUUAUUCAGAAAUACUUGUUAUGCCACAGUUCCCUUUUAAUGUCCUAACUCAGUUUCUCCAAUUGUCCUAUUUAGUUACUCUGCCUCAGUUUGUAACCUUUCCCUCUUAAUGUUGAUGAGAUAAAGAUGAUUUAUAUCUUUAGGCUAUAAUCAUUCCUUCUUAAUGUUUGACAGGAUAACGGUCUAUCCAUUUUAGACAUCAUAGAAUAUCAGUAACCUCUCCAGUACCUCCUUCCAUUGUGUCAUCCUAGGUGCCUCCCCCCUUUAGGUUAUCCCCAUCCAGGUACCUCCCCCAUUCUGUCAUCAUUCUUGUUAUCCUAUGAAAAAUCUUGCUGUCUAAUACUCAGUGCUGGAUUCUUUGAGGCAAUAGUCUCAUUCAGCCCUGGGACCAACCAUGGAUCCAUUUGGUCCCAGUAUAUCUCUCCAUUUAAUAAAUUAUUAAAUUGUUCUCUAAUCUCUGUCUUGCUCAGUUUCUCCAGCGUUACAUACUUUGUUAAAUCCAAUUACAUUCUUUUCUCUUUUUAUAUUUAUCUUUUGUGAAAGAAGGAAGUCAUAAUAAUUCUCAUUUAAAAUUUUAGUUUAUGCUAGAAUAAUUAUUUAAGAAAUUCAAUAGAUGAAAGUGUGCCUGCACAAAUUAAUACCAUUUAUUUAUUUUUAAGUUUUAGGUCAAGUGACAACAGUCGUGGAAAUUUGUACACUGCCUUCUACUAAUAAAGAAAGUACUAUUGACAGGGCAAAAGGAAAUUCCACAUUCUCUUCUCUUUUAUAGUUAUGGUAACUAAAUCAUGUAUGAACCUGACUGUGGGACCUUACUACUUGAAUUCUUUCUUUGGGAAUUUUUGUAGUACCUUUUCUUUAACAUGGUAACUCUGGGUUUUGGCUAUAAUGUUCCUGGAAGCUUUCAUUUUUUUAUUUUCUUUCAAAAAGUUACCAAAGGAUUCUUCCUAUUUCUACUUUGCCAUCUGGUUCUAAGAUUUCUAGGUAGUUUUGUUUUUUUCAAUAGUAUUUAUUUUUCCAAAUACAUUCAAAGAUAGUUUUCAGCAUUCACCUUUGCAAAAUCUUGUGUUCCAAAUUUUUCUCCCUUUUUUCCUCCUCCCCAAGACAGCAAGCAAUCCGAUAUAGGUUAAACAUGUUGGGAAGUUUCCUUUUAAGAUUUCUUGAAAUAGGAUGUUUAGGUUCUUUUUUUUAGUCAGUCCAAUGAUUCUUAAAUUUUUUCUCCUUGAUAUGUUUUUUAGGUGUACAGCUUUUACUAUGAAAUACUUAACAUUUUUUCC